UGAAACAUUAGGAACCUCUACAACCUACCAAGUAUGAAAAUAUGUUUGUUAUUCUCAGGUUAAAAAGAACCACCAAACAGUAGUGAAGCAGAGUAAGAAACUAAGAAAAUUCAGGAUAUAGCAAACUGAAACCAACAUAAUACAAACACCAGCUUAGGAGGCUCAUAAGUGAAUCUCAUGCUAGCAUAAAUGUAGGGAACAAAUUGCUCCAAGUUCCUUCAAAAGCCAUCUAUGAUUAGUGUCAAUAAAAGCUAAAUUUUCAUGAGCUUUUUCAAGCACAUGGUUUCACCAAACAUCCAAAAUAUUAUUAAAAUGCCACCUCCUCUCCCUGUGUGGGGCAAAAGAUAAACGAGAAAAAAUAUAACUCAGACUAUAUAUUUCUAAAUGUACUCACUGUUUCUCGCAAGGCUGACG
This 414-nucleotide unclassified non-coding RNA is filed under the name Hevea brasiliensis (rubber tree). The record is from RNAcentral. Lineage: Eukaryota; Viridiplantae; Streptophyta; Magnoliopsida; Malpighiales; Euphorbiaceae.